Molecule: ribosomal RNA, 253 nt
Filed under: uncultured bacterium
Lineage: Bacteria
Description: partial 16S ribosomal RNA
Rfam family: Bacterial small subunit ribosomal RNA
Source: RNAcentral
UACAGAGGUCCCGAGCGUUGUUCGGAUUCACUGGGCGUAAAGGGUGCGUAGGUGGCCUGGUAAGUUUGAUGUGAAAGCCCGCAGCUUAACUGCGGAAUGGCAUUGAAUACUAUCAGGCUUGAGGGUUGGAGGGGAGACUGGAAUUCUCGGUGUAGCAGUGAAAUGCGUAGAUAUCGAGAGGAACACCGGUGGCGAAGGCGAGUCUCUGGACAACCCCUGACACUGAGGCACGAAAGCUAGGAGAGCAAACAGG